GAGACGGAGUCGUGAGUG
This 18-nucleotide microRNA is filed under the name Ornithorhynchus anatinus (platypus). Its description in RNAcentral is "oan-miR-1410". The record is from miRBase by way of RNAcentral. Lineage: Eukaryota; Metazoa; Chordata; Mammalia; Monotremata; Ornithorhynchidae.